CAGAAGCUGCUUCAGUAAUUAUAUAUGUAUCUGCAGACAAUUAUUAUUUGUCUGAAUACCCACAUCUGUGUUUUUAUUGUAGCUCUGUAUGACUUUGUUUUCAGUUGAAGACGCCAAUAUCAACCUGCUUAAACGACUCCUGGAUCUUCAAAGGAAAAAGCACUAAGUUGUAUCAUCUGGGCACACUAUCCUUCCAACACGUGACUUCCGCUUUCCUGAAAGAGUCAACUUGGAUUGGUACAAGAUCGUGCCGGAGAU
Lingula anatina is the source of this 258-nucleotide long non-coding RNA. The record is from RefSeq and is a predicted model, not a curated record. Lineage: Eukaryota; Metazoa; Brachiopoda; Lingulata; Lingulida; Lingulidae.